GUGGGCGUGGUGGAAUUGGUAGACACGUCAGACUUAGGAUCUGAUGCUUAUCAUGCGUAAGGGUUCGAAUCCCUUCGCCCGCACAA
This 86-nucleotide transfer RNA is filed under the name Blattabacterium sp. (Mastotermes darwiniensis) str. MADAR. Its description in RNAcentral is "tRNA-Leu". It matches the Rfam family "tRNA". Rfam says of the family: Transfer RNA (tRNA) molecules are approximately 80 nucleotides in length. Their secondary structure includes four short double-helical elements and three loops (D, anti-codon, and T loops). Further hydrogen bonds mediate the characteristic L-shaped molecular structure. tRNAs have two regions of fundamental functional importance: the anti-codon, which is responsible for specific mRNA codon recognition, and the 3' end, to which the tRNAs corresponding amino acid is attached (by aminoacyl-tRNA synthetases). tRNAs cope with the degeneracy of the genetic code in two manners: having more than one tRNA (with a specific anti-codon) for a particular amino acid; and 'wobble' base-pairing, i.e. permitting non-standard base-pairing at the 3rd anti-codon position. Lineage: Bacteria; Pseudomonadati; Bacteroidota; Flavobacteriia; Flavobacteriales; Blattabacteriaceae. The record is from RNAcentral.